This 320-nucleotide long non-coding RNA is filed under the name Elaeis guineensis (African oil palm). Its description in RNAcentral is "long non-coding RNA (EGUI_LNC019036)". Lineage: Eukaryota; Viridiplantae; Streptophyta; Magnoliopsida; Arecales; Arecaceae. The record is from RNAcentral.
CCACCUCCUUCUGGUGCUAUGCCCAGCUCCGAUGCCCCUCCUCCACCUCCGCACACAGCUGCACUACAGCCGACAGUAGUAGCAGCCACCCUUCCGGCCGAGAGAGCGAGAGGUUGAUGGAGGGAGGUGAUGGCAAGGAUGGGGAUGGGGACGACGAGGAACAGGAGGAGGCGGCGACGAAGAGGAGAGGAUUAGGUAAGACGACGGAGGGGAGAGGAGGAGGAUGGGAAGGGGGUGGAGGAACGUACUUCUCGAUGAAGGUUUCAAGGAUGUGCUCAUAAGCGGAGGAGGUUCCAGGGUGGUGGGGUCGUCUAAGCUUC